Betta splendens (Siamese fighting fish) is the source of this 1979-nucleotide long non-coding RNA. RefSeq lists it as uncharacterized. The record is from RefSeq and is a predicted model, not a curated record. The transcript is spliced from 4 exons. Lineage: Eukaryota; Metazoa; Chordata; Actinopteri; Anabantiformes; Osphronemidae.
GUAUUGUUGUUGUCAACCUCCAUCCCAGAACCUGCGACAAACGUGGCGCGGGUUUAAUCCAUUUACAAUCCGUAAAAUCUGUGUGUCUUGGUCUUGGGCGAGCUUGUGGGAUACCGGGUGCUUUGUAAUUCAAAGGUGACUUGUGUUUUCCUGCAAACCCGCGGUUGCUAAAAAUAGCUGCAUUUUUCCCAGCGUGCCUCAAAGCCGGCGGAGGAGACGCAUGGAUUGAUUGAGGGGCGGAGAGAGGGAAAGGUGCUAAUAUCACUGUCAGCUCUAAUGCUACAGCGGAGGAGAGAGAGAGAGAGUACAUAUUUCAAUACACAACACAGCCUAUACACAGUGAGGGGCUGCUCAUUAGUGACAAAACAUCAGGUCAGGAAUUCAAGCAAUUGGCAGCAUGGAGGUCGCUUUUAAUUACUAACAUGUUACAAUUUUUAUUUUCUGUUAGUUCUAACAAACUCUGAAGCUCAAAAUGCUAAAAUACAAGAGAACCACUGCUCUGCCGUCGAUGUAAAACACGAAAUGAUGAUUGUUUAAACACCCAGUGAUCAUGUUGUAAUUAGUUGAUGACAACGUCCGCGUGAGCCUUUUUGUCCUUCCAGGAGACGCGACGUCUUGAUGCCGCAAAAAUUCGGAGACAGAAGGAACUCAGGUGGAUUCGCCUUCUCCCUGGACCUGAACGUAGCACCGGGAGCGCGAUCCUCGCACGCAAACGCACCACGGAGCGUUUCGCCGACUGUUUGCUUCAAAGUGUGACAUGAAUGUGGGCAGUUUGCAUAAUUGCUGCGUGUCGUUAAUAAAGAAAACACAUGUUUUGGCCGCUCCGCCCACUAAACUCCCACCUUUGCUAUAAUAAUAGCUUAUUCCUCUGUGCUGUAAUUGCUUCUUUAAAGGUGCUAAAACAUGGCAUGUAGUAUAUUUUCCUUGUGGCAUAUGUAAGAUAUAAAGGUUUCUAUUUUAGCCCAAAGCAGGGGCGUAAACAACGUGUUCCCGAUUCACUCUCCUCCACACUUUAUUAUUUUAUCCAUAACUUUAUUUCGUUUCGUCUUCAACUAACAGCCCGCCCGCAUUGUUUUGAGGCCUCCUCACGACCGCGCUGCAAAAAAAAAUAUGACGCAACCUGUUCCCUGACUGAUGGACGUGUAAUUACCAACAGACUUUCCCGCCACGUUUUUAACACCUAGUCGCACGCGCAGCAUCGGAGCUUUAAGAAGAAUACGACUUUCCAGGCGGGGCUGAAGACGCUGGAGGCAGGAUGACCAUGCAGAGGCAGAAGGAAUGAGGCCGUGCAGGUGGAUCUGACUGCUGCACAUGAGGCACGUCGGUCCCAAAGAAGCCCUGCGAUGACGAGCAGAGCCUUUUGUUGUGCUCUGACUCAGAGGAGGCCGCUGCUCCCAGCACAGGAUUCGUCAGGUACUUGACCACGAAAUGCUGUGAAAACGAAAGGAGCUGCUGAACAUGAGCGGGCGCUUUCACACGGCUUUUGACUCACCUUUGGCUCCAAAACCAGAAUCUGCUUCUAAUUGAUCACUACAGUCCUGUCAUGAGCCGAACACCUCCCGCUUCACGUCCUAUGGAGGUUUGUUACAGAUGUGCGUACAUGUCUUGUCACUAAAUCACAAGGUGCGUUCAGGUUCGUUUGGAGCAUCCAGGGGAAGAGUUGAUUAUCUGGCACGGUGUGUUUAUUCUGUUUGUAGAUAGGAAAAGAUUAUUUUACAGAUGGUUAUGUUCUGGAUCGUUUCUUUGCCAGUAACUUCUUGGAGUCUGUGCCGGUUGCCUGGCAACUGUUCAGAGUCAAGAAAUAAACCUGUUAAAAAGUCAAGCUUUAAUAAAAGAAACACUAAAGCGGUGCUUAAAACACAAGAUGGUAAAUUAUUUAUGAAAAAAAAUAUUAAUUGCGUGAUUGAGUUGAUCAUGUGGAAAAUUAAAUAUGGGACUUUAUCAGAACUCUGUGUUUGCGUGUGGUUUUAAUCGUAUGG